GUCGGGGCCCGAGGAAGCAAUCCCCGGGGGCUUCUGCGUCCGUAGGUGAACCUGCGGAAGGAUCAUUA
Molecule: ribosomal RNA, 68 nt
Filed under: uncultured fungus
Lineage: Eukaryota; Fungi
Description: partial 18S ribosomal RNA
Source: RNAcentral